AUACAUGCAGUCGAGCGAAUCGGAGGGAGCUUGCUCCCAAAGAUUAGCGGCGGACGGGUGAGUAACACGUGGGCAACCUGCCUGUAAGACUGGGAUAACUUCGGGAAACCGGAGCUAAUACCGGAUAAUCCUUUCCCUCACAUGAGGGAAAGCUGAAAGACGGUUUCGGCUGUCACUUACAGAUGGGCCCGCGGCGCAUUAGCUAGUUGGUGAGGUAACGGCUCACCAAGGCGACGAUGCGUAGCCGACCUGAGAGGGUGAUCGGCCACACUGGGACUGAGACACGGCCCAGACUCCUACGGGAGGCAGCAGUAGGGAAUCUUCCGCAAUGGACGAAAGUCUGACGGAGCAACGCCGCGUGAGCGAAGAAGGCCUUCGGGUCGUAAAGCUCUGUUGUCAGGGAAGAACAAGUGCCGGAGUAACUGCCGGCACCUUGACGGUACCUGACCAGAAAGCCACGGCUAACUACGUGCCAGCAGCCGCGGUAAUACGUAGGUGGCAAGCGUUGUCCGGAAUUAUUGGGCGUAAAGCGCGCGCAGGCGGUCCUUUAAGUCUGAUGUGAAAGCCCACGGCUCAACCGUGGAGGGUCAUUGGAAACUGGGGGACUUGAGUGCAGAAGAGGAGAGUGGAAUUCCACGUGUAGCGGUGAAAUGCGUAGAGAUGUGGAGGAACACCAGUGGCGAAGGCGACUCUCUGGUCUGUAACUGACGCUGAGGCGCGAAAGCGUGGGGAGCGAACAGGAUUAGAUACCCUGGUAGUCCACGCCGUAAACGAUGAGUGCUAAGUGUUAGAGGGUUUCCGCCCUUUAGUGCUGCAGCAAACGCAUUAAGCACUCCGCCUGGGGAGUACGGCCGCAAGGCUGAAACUCAAAGGAAUUGACGGGGGCCCGCACAAGCGGUGGAGCAUGUGGUUUAAUUCGAAGCAACGCGAAGAA
This 934-nucleotide ribosomal RNA is filed under the name Bacillus sp. (in: firmicutes). RNAcentral describes it as "bacterial SSU rRNA". It matches the Rfam family "Bacterial small subunit ribosomal RNA", at positions 51 to 968 of the family's 1533-position model. The record is from RNAcentral. Lineage: Bacteria; Bacillati; Bacillota; Bacilli; Caryophanales; Bacillaceae.